CUCGUGUUUAGCGGUGUAGCUUCCAGCGGGAUCCGAUCCCAGACAGUUUAAAAAGUGAACAAAAGAAUGAAGCUCAGAAACGACAGUAUGACGGCAUCUGCAAUCCUGCUGUCCUUCUUUGUCAUUGCUUCUUGGGUUAUCUGUGUCUUCACUUUCCUCUCCUGCAGUAAACAGCUCCACCGCUGCGUUGCCGUGGUAACCUUCUAACAGUUUGUGCUUUGGACCUGCCUGAGCCUGCCAGUGGAUCACAGAGGAGAAAGACCUGCUGCUGACCUGCAGCAGAGAAGAAAUAUCAAAACG
This is a long non-coding RNA of Oryzias melastigma (Indian medaka), 300 nucleotides long. RefSeq lists it as uncharacterized. Lineage: Eukaryota; Metazoa; Chordata; Actinopteri; Beloniformes; Adrianichthyidae. The transcript is spliced from 3 exons. The record is from RefSeq and is a predicted model, not a curated record.